Molecule: ribosomal RNA, 254 nt
Filed under: uncultured bacterium
Lineage: Bacteria
Description: partial 16S ribosomal RNA
Rfam family: Bacterial small subunit ribosomal RNA
Source: RNAcentral
UACAGAGGGGGCAAGCGUUAUUCGGAAUUAUUGGGCGUAAAGGGCGCGUAGGCGGUCAGCACAAGUCAGUUGUGAAAUCUCCGGGCUUAACUCGGAAAGGUCAACUGAUACUGUGCGACUAGAGUGCGGAAGGGGCAACUGGAAUUCUCGGUGUAGCGGUGAAAUGCGUAGAUAUCGAGAGGAACACCUGCGGCGAAGGCGGGUUGCUGGGCCGACACUGACGCUGAUGCGCGAAAGCCAGGGGAGCGAACGGG